Molecule: unclassified non-coding RNA, 317 nt
Filed under: Mycolicibacterium houstonense
Lineage: Bacteria; Bacillati; Actinomycetota; Actinomycetes; Mycobacteriales; Mycobacteriaceae
Description: partial tmRNA
Source: RNAcentral
CGAAUCAAGGGAAGCGUGCCGGUGCAGGCAAGAGACCACCGUAAGCGUCGUUGCAACCAAUUAAGCGCCGAUUCCAAUCAGCGCGACUACGCCCUCGCUGCCUAAGCGACGGCUGGUCUGUCAGACCGGGAACGCCCUCGGCCCGGAUCCUGGCAUCAGCUAGAGGGACCCACCCACGGGUUCGGUCGCGGAAUCCGUGGGGACAUCAAACAGCGACUGGGAUCGUCAUCUCAGCUUGUUCGCGUGACUGAGAGAUCCGAGUAGAGGCACAGCGAACUGCGCACGGAGAAGCCUCGAGGACAUGCCGUAGGACCCGG